Molecule: ribosomal RNA, 465 nt
Filed under: Vreelandella stevensii
Lineage: Bacteria; Pseudomonadati; Pseudomonadota; Gammaproteobacteria; Oceanospirillales; Halomonadaceae
Description: partial 16S ribosomal RNA
Rfam family: Bacterial small subunit ribosomal RNA
Source: RNAcentral
CCUACGGGAGGCUGCAGUGGGGAAUAUUGGACAAUGGGGGCAACCCUGAUCCAGCCAUGCCGCGUGUGUGAAGAAGGCCCUCGGGUUGUAAAGCACUUUCAGUGAGGAAGAACGCCUGGUGGUUAAUACCCAUCAGGAAAGACAUCACUCACAGAAGAAGCACCGGCUAACUCCGUGCCAGCAGCCGCGGUAAUACGGAGGGUGCGAGCGUUAAUCGGAAUUACUGGGCGUAAAGCGCGCGUAGGUGGCUUGAUAAGCCGGUUGGGAAAGCCCCGGGCUCAACCUGGGAACGGCAUCCGGAACUGUCAAGCUAGAGUGCAGGAGAGGAAGGUAGAAUUCCCGGUGUAGCGGUGAAAUGCGUAGAGAUCGGGAGGAAUACCAGUGGCGAAGGCGGCCUUCUGGACUGACACUGACACUGAGGUGCGAAAGCGUGGGUAGCAAACAGGAUUAGAUACCCCAGUAGUC